CCUACGGGUGGCAGCAGUAGGGAAUCUUCGUCAAUGGGCGCAAGCCUGACCGAGCAAUGCCGCGUGAACGAGGAAGGUCUUCGGAUCGUAAAGUUCUGUUGAAGGGGAAAAAGAGCGGAGAGAGGAAAUGGUCUCCGAUUGAUAUUACCCUUCGAGGAAGUCACGGCUAACUACGUGCCAGCAGCCGCGGUAAUACGUAGGUGGCGAGCGUUAUCCGGAAUGAUUGGGCGUAAAGGGUGCGUAGGCGGCCUGCCAAGUCUGGAGUGAAAGGUACCGGCUCAACCGGGACAAGCUCUGGAAACUGGCGGGCUAGAGAGCAGGAGAGGGCGGUGGAACUCCAUGUGUAGCGGUAAAAUGCGUAGAUAUAUGGAAGAACAGCAGUGGCGAAGGCGGCCGCCUGGCCUGUUACUGACGCUGAGGCACGAAAGCGUGGGGAGCAAAUAGGAUUAGAUACCCGAGUAGUC
RNAcentral lists this ribosomal RNA (464 nucleotides) under uncultured bacterium. RNAcentral describes it as "partial 16S ribosomal RNA". It matches the Rfam family "Bacterial small subunit ribosomal RNA", at positions 338 to 795 of the family's 1533-position model. The record is from RNAcentral.